UGCCAGCAGCCGCGGUAAUACGAAGGUGGCGAGCGUUGUUCGGAAUCACUGGGCUUAAAGCGCAUGUAGGCGGCUAUGUAAGCGUCGGGUGAAAUCCCUCGGCUCAACCGAGGAACGGCUUGGCGAACUACAUGGCUUGAGGCAGGUAGGGGUGUGUGGAACUCUUGGUGGAGCGGUGAAAUGCGUAGAUAUCAAGAGGAACGCCGGCGGCGAAAGCGGCACACUGGGCCUGUCCUGACGCUGAGAUGCGAAGGCUAGGGUAGCGAACGGGAUUAGAUA
Molecule: ribosomal RNA, 279 nt
Filed under: uncultured bacterium
Lineage: Bacteria
Description: partial 16S ribosomal RNA
Rfam family: Bacterial small subunit ribosomal RNA
Source: RNAcentral